UGCUAUACAUGCAGUCGAGCGGAUGGAUUAAGAGCUUGCUCUUAUGAAGUUAGCGGCGGACGGGUGAGUAACACGUGGGUAACCUNCCCAUAAGACUGGGAUAACUCCGGGAAACCGGGGCUAAUACCGGAUAAUAUUUUGAACUGCAUGNUUCGAAAUUGAAAGGCGGCUUCGGCUGUCACUUAUGGAUGGACCCGCGUCGCAUUAGCUAGUUGGUGAGGUAACGGCUCACCAAGGCGACGAUGCGUAGCCGACCUGAGAGGGUGAUCGGCCACACUGGGACUGAGACACGGCCCAGACUCCUACGGGAGGCAGCAGUAGGGAAUCUUCCGCAAUGGACGAAAGUCUGACGGAGCAACGCCGCGUGAGUGAUGAAGGCUUUCGGGUCGUAAAACUCUGUUGUUAGGGAAGAACAAGUGCUAGUUGAAUAAGCUGGCACCUUGACGGUACCUAACCAGAAAGCCACGGCUAACUACGUGCCAGCAGCCGCGGUAAUACGUAGGUGGCAAGCGUUAUCCGGAAUUAUUGGGCGUAAAGCGCGCGCAGUUGGUUUCUUAAGUCUGAUGUGAAAGCCCACGGCUCAACCGUGGAGGGUCAUUGGAAACUGGGAGACUUGAGUGCAGAAGAGGAAAGUGGAAUUCCAUGUGUAGCG
Molecule: ribosomal RNA, 652 nt
Filed under: Bacillus sp. AT-MI-56
Lineage: Bacteria; Bacillati; Bacillota; Bacilli; Caryophanales; Bacillaceae
Description: bacterial SSU rRNA
Rfam family: Bacterial small subunit ribosomal RNA
Source: RNAcentral